Long non-coding RNA from Dreissena polymorpha, 641 nucleotides. RefSeq lists it as uncharacterized. The record is from RefSeq and is a predicted model, not a curated record. The transcript has 2 exons. Lineage: Eukaryota; Metazoa; Mollusca; Bivalvia; Myida; Dreissenidae.
GAACCAGUGACCCCUGGAGUCCUGCCAGAGUCCUGAAGUAAAAACGCUUUAGCCUACUGAGCUAUUCCGCCGAGUACACAUUCUUGACGUAUUUUAUACCUUAUAUAAGCAAUCUUCGUAGUUUCACAAAAUUUAACGACAAAAACAGAACUCUCCAAAUUAUUCAAUCGUUUCGCGUUGCAAUGUUUUAUAAUUUUUAACCAGGUUUUCCGAAGGAAAAAACUGGUUAUUAGAUUGGCGAAUGCGGGCGGGCUGGCUGGCUGGCGGGCUGGCGGAAUAAGCUUGUCCGGGCCAUAACUAUGUCGUUCAUUGUCAGAUUUUAAAAUCAUUUGGCACAUUUGUUCACCAUCAUUGGACGGUGUGUCGCGCGAAAUAAUUACGUCGAUAUCUCCAAGGUCAAGGUCACACUUUGAGUUCAAAGGUCAAAAAUGGCCAUAAAUGAGCUUGUCCUGGCCAUAACUAUGUCAUUCAUUGUGAGAUUUUAAAAUCAUUUGGCACAUUUGUUCACCAUCAUGGGACGGUGUGUCCCACGAAAGAAUCACGUCAAUAUCUCCAAUGUCAAGGUCGCCACGACUAAAAAUAGAUUUAAAAAAAAAAAAAAAACUUACAAAGGGGGUUAAUUUUUUUUGGUCAUUUCAAAA